Molecule: ribosomal RNA, 579 nt
Filed under: Vishniacozyma carnescens
Lineage: Eukaryota; Fungi; Basidiomycota; Tremellomycetes; Tremellales; Bulleribasidiaceae
Description: eukaryotic LSU rRNA
Rfam family: Eukaryotic large subunit ribosomal RNA
Source: RNAcentral
AGUGAACGGGAUGAGCUCAAAUUUGAAAUCUGGCGUCUUUCAGGCGUCCGAGUUGUAAUCUAUAGAGGCGUUUUCCGCGCCGGACCGCGUCCAAGUCUCUUGGAAUAGAGUAUCAAAGAGGGUGACAAUCCCGUACUUGACGCGACAACCGGUGCUCUGUGAUACGUUCUCAAUGAGUCGAGUUGUUUGGGAAUGCAGCUCUAAAUGGGUGGUAAAUUCCAUCUAAGGCUAAAUAUUGGCGAGAGACCGAUAGCGAACAAGUACCGUGAGGGAAAGAUGAAAAGCACUUUGGAAAGAGAGUUAAACAGCACGUGAAAUUGUUAAAAGGGAAACGAUUGAAGUCAGUCGUGUGGGAAGUAUUCAGCCGUCUCUGGCGGUGUAUUUGCUUCUCACGGGUCAACAUCAGUUUGAUCCGGUAGAAAAAGGCGGGAAGAAGGUGGCACCCUCGGGUGUGUUAUAGCUUCCUGUCAUAUGUGCCGGACCAGACUGAGGAACGCAGCUUGCAGCAAUGCCGGGGUUCGCCCACGUACAAGCUUAGGAUGUUGACAUAAUGGCUUUAAACGACCCGUCUUGAAACAG